GGCGAGUUCGGUUUUAGUUGUAUUUUAAAUUUAGUCGGUAUGACUAGAACCCACACUCGUCCGG
RNAcentral lists this microRNA precursor (64 nucleotides) under Daphnia pulex (common water flea). The record is from RNAcentral. Lineage: Eukaryota; Metazoa; Arthropoda; Branchiopoda; Diplostraca; Daphniidae.